CCUACGGGAGGCAGCAGUAAGGAAUCUUGCGCAAUGGGCGAAAGCCUGACGCAGCGACGCCGCGUGGGCGAUGAAGGCCUUCGGGUUGUAAAGCCCUUUUCUGGGGGACGAGGAAGGACGGUACCCCAGGAAUAAGUCACGGCUAACUACGUGCCAGCAGCCGCGGUAAAACGUAGGUGGCAAGCGUUAUCCGGAAUCACUGGGCGUAAAGGGCGUCUAGGCGGACGGGUAAGUCGUGCGUGAAAGCUUCCGGCUCAACCGGGAGAGGUCGUACGAUACUGCCUGUCUUGAGGGUCGGAGAGGGACGUGGAAUUCCCGGUGUAGCGGUAAAAUGCGUAGAGAUCAGGAGGAACACCGGUGGCGAAGGCGGCUCUCUGGGACAGUACUGACGCUGAGACGCGAAAGCGUGGGGAGCAAACAGGAUUAGAUCCCCUGGUAGU
RNAcentral lists this ribosomal RNA (440 nucleotides) under uncultured Anaerolineae bacterium. RNAcentral's name for it is "partial 16S ribosomal RNA". It matches the Rfam family "Bacterial small subunit ribosomal RNA", at positions 338 to 794 of the family's 1533-position model. The record is from RNAcentral. Lineage: Bacteria; Bacillati; Chloroflexota; Anaerolineae.